Long non-coding RNA from Diospyros lotus (date-plum), 1346 nucleotides. RefSeq lists it as uncharacterized. The record is from RefSeq and is a predicted model, not a curated record. Lineage: Eukaryota; Viridiplantae; Streptophyta; Magnoliopsida; Ericales; Ebenaceae. The transcript has 3 exons.
AGGACCUCCAAGGCCUCGCGCCGCUCCACUGCGCCGCCUCCAAGGGCCGAGUCAGCGUCAUCCACGAGAUCCUUUCCACCAGCCUCGAAUCCGCCGAGAUCAGGACUCGCAACGGCGAGACCGUUCUCCACCUCGCCGUCAAGAACAACCAGUUCGAAGCCCUCAGGUAUUUGGUGGAAAUCCUUAAUGUCUCCACACUCAUCAACUUGCCGGACAACGAUGGCAACACCAUCCUCCACCUCGCCAUCGCCGGGAACCUCAGCGCUGUUGUGAGUUGGGUCGAAAGAACCCUAGAUCUGGAUCCAGCAAGUCGCGGGUCAUCUCCUCGAGCAGCAUGUGGUUACUCACUCGCCUGCCGGCCAGCGGCGUGUGACCUUGUAAGCGGCGGUGCGUGAGGUAGCGUGUGGAGGCCGGGGUGCACUUCCUCUGUUCUAGAUCUAAUCCUGCAUCACUCACAUAUCUUAUCCCUGAGAUCUGAACUGGAAUCAAGGUGGAGAUUGUUGGUUUUGUGUUUCUUAAUGAUGCCCAAGGCUAUGACGAUUUUUUCGGGUGGGUUUUAUCUUCAUAGUUCUCGGUCCGAGAUUGAAGAAUCCAAGUUUGUCACUACUUUUAGGUAGCCCAUUUUAGAAGCUGGGCCAUAAGCCCUAUUCCCACUUUAGAGGAGAAAUAGGCCUCGACCCAUUUGCUCAAGUGGGAGAAGCUCACGGUUUUGAGCCCAAAAGUCUCUUGUGCCUAAGCCCUAAGCCCACAUAUAAAAAACCCAUGUGCGGCCCAUUCUCUUGGUGUUUCCUUCAUUGACCGAACCCUAGCAUUUCUCUCUCUCGUUUCCUUGCUUGGCCAGUUGCUUCCUUCGUGGUUUCCUUUGUGGCUGAUCUUCCAUGGCUUCAUUUCCAUCUUGGUCCGAUGUCUCUUUCCAUGUUGAAAGGCCGCAUCAUUCCUUGUUGAUCUUGGCCGAUUUGUUGUCGAUGCGCAUGCCCUAUUUAAGGGGUUUCGAUCAUCCAUUCUCGGUAAACUUUUCUCAUUGCUUUGUGCUUUUUACCCUCUGUCUUUGUAACCGAUCUACCUUAUGUGAUAACCUACCUUGUGUGGCUUUGAUCAAUUGGGUGAGAGAGAGUUUCGUUUGUAUUCGACCGAGAGGUGUUGGGAUUUUCUGGGCUUUCGGUUUGAGGGUUUCGUUGUGGCUUGUGGUUCCUAUUCGUUGGUGUUACCAAAGUGGUGAACGUACUCUUCAGAUUUGAGCCUUGAUCAUUAUUUAAACAGGGAGUUUUUUACUUUGUGUUCAUCUUUUUAUUGCUAUUAUCGAUACUUUGUGUAUUGUCUUUAUUUUCGAUCUAAAUCUGAUUCGA